Molecule: long non-coding RNA, 1356 nt
Organism: Drosophila miranda
Lineage: Eukaryota; Metazoa; Arthropoda; Insecta; Diptera; Drosophilidae
Exons: 2
Source: RefSeq, a predicted model, not a curated record
CCUAGGAUUGUUGGCCUAGGAGCGCGCUCGUGCGAGUGGGAAACAGAAGCAAAAAAAAAGGGGGAAAGAAAAAGAAAUAUGGAGCGGAAUCAAGGAAAAUGGUGUUUAAAAAUCCCUCUUAUUUCCUAUGUACUCUCUACACUCCGUAUACACUCGUGGCUUACGAGUUGAGUGCUCUCACAAAUACAGCCGAAAAGCAAUCGAAAUGCAUUUGGAUUGAAGGGAGAUUGAAGCCGCAGCCGCAGCACAUGGUACGCCUGUAGUAGUAGUAGUAGUAGCAGCAGCAAAAAGAAAAAAGUUCACACACACGAACAGACCUCCAAAAAAUGGCAACACUUGCCACACAAACGGUUUACACGACACUAAAGGCGGCCACACGCCAAGAACUCGACAAGUGGGAACGGGAGGGACCAAAGUGGUGGAAGAUGGAGAUGAGCUGAUGGAAAACUAAGGCGGCACGAGUACAUAUCUGGAUCAGCAAACAUUUAUCCAGAAUUCAUGGAGAAAGGCUCCAUUCCUUUCAGUUUUCUCUUGUAUAAUCACGAAAUGUUCUUGGGGCCUGGGAUCGUAAACCCAAAGAGGAAGCCCAGGAAGAGUGCCCCCUCCCGCCCGCUCAGAGUUGUGUCGUCAUGGGCGGGCAACAACUACAAUGAGAAGCGCGUUAAGGCCGCAGCCAGAGGAGACAAGCAUCGUGCCAGCCGCAGCAGCAGCAGCAAUUGGACAAGGCUUGCCCUCUCGGAGUCCAAUUGGACUUCCCGACACCAGGAGAUGGAGCCAGAGCCGUAGCAAGGGGACUGGACUACCCAUUCAGGCAACACACAGAAUUGUUCGCGCAUUUGGCAAAAAAUCAAUUUUCCUUGUGAUUGCCAAAUGCAAUUGCAAAAGAAUCAAGGCAGAAAAGAGAACAUGCAAAGCAGAAGAUCCAACAAAAAGCAUUAGGCACAAAGCAUAUUUUCACUUUAGACGCGCUUUGGGGAACACCUUCGGGCGUACGCAGUUUUUGCAGUGUUUCGGCUUUAUAUUUUUUUACUGUUAAUUAUUGACAUAACAAAUGGCAAGUCUCCGUCGCUCUUUUCCGCGCACUCACUCCACCCUUCCACCCUCUGUGGGGCGCGGAUGACGGCAACGGCAACGGCAACGGUAGCGUUGACAGCAGCAGUAGCACACGCGAAAUUGCUUAAAUAAAGAGGAUAGGAUAACACAAACACACCGAAACUAGAGCUUAUAAUUUUCCACCGUUGGCGCUCUGCUUCGCUUCCUGGCGAUUCUUUGAACGUAAGGGACUUUUUCGGGGACUGGACUCACGUGCACCUUCAGCACUGGCAAUCGUCAGCACACGUAGGUAUAAAAUUUAAA